ACAGGUGCUGCAUGGCUGUCGUCAGUUCUUGUUGUGAAAUGUUGGGUUAAGUCCCGCAACGAGCGCAACCCUUAUCCUUUGUUGCCAGCGGUCCGGCCGGGAACUCAUAGGAAACUGGCAGUGAUAAACUGGAAGAAGGGGGGGAUGAACUCCAGUCAUCCUGGCCCUUACGACCAGGGCUACCCCCGUGCUACAAUGGCGCAUACAAAAAGAAGCGACCUCGCGAGAGCGAGCGGACCUCAUAAAGUGCGUCCUAAUCCGGAUUGGAGUCUGCAACUCCACUCCAUGAAGUCGGAAUCCCUAGUAAUCCUGGAUCAAAAUGCCACGGUGAAUACCUUCCCGGGUCUUGGACACACCGAA
This 360-nucleotide ribosomal RNA is filed under the name uncultured Citrobacter sp. RNAcentral describes it as "bacterial SSU rRNA". It matches the Rfam family "Bacterial small subunit ribosomal RNA", at positions 1034 to 1394 of the family's 1533-position model. Lineage: Bacteria; Pseudomonadati; Pseudomonadota; Gammaproteobacteria; Enterobacterales; Enterobacteriaceae. The record is from RNAcentral.